This 381-nucleotide ribosomal RNA is filed under the name uncultured bacterium. Its description in RNAcentral is "bacterial SSU rRNA". It matches the Rfam family "Bacterial small subunit ribosomal RNA", at positions 29 to 409 of the family's 1533-position model. The record is from RNAcentral.
AAUCAACGCUGGCGGCGCGCUUAACACAUGCAAGUCGAACGGGAAAGUGGAGCAAUCCAUGAGUACAGUGGCGUACGGGUGAGUAACACGUGGGUGAUCUACCUCUUAGUGGGGAAUAACCCUGGGAAACCGGAGCUAAUACCGCAUAAGCCCGAGAGGGGAAAGUGGCUUUGUGAAAACAGAGCCGCGCUGAGAGAGGAGCCCGCGGCCGAUUAGCUAGUUGGUAGGGUAAAAGCCACCAAGGCAGAGAUCGGUAGCCGGCCUGAGAGGGCACACGGCCACACUGGCACUGAAACACGGGCCAGACUCCUACGGGAGGCAGCAGUGGGGAAUCUUGCACAAUGGGGGAAACCCGUNAUGCAGCGACGCCGCGUGAGCGAU